UGAGGAAUAUUGGUCAAUGGGCGAGAGCCUGAACCAGCCAAGUAGCGUGAAGGAUGAAGGCUCUACGGGUCGUAAACUUCUUUUAUAUAAGAAUAAAGUGCAGUAUGUAUACUGUUUUGUAUGUAUUAUAUGAAUAAGGAUCGGCUAACUCCGUGCCAGCAGCCGCGGUAAUACGGAGGAUCCGAGCGUUGUCCGGAUUUAUUGGGUUUAAAGGGAGCGUAGGUGGACUGGUAAGUCAGUUGUGAAAGUUUGCGGCUCAACCGUAAAAUUGCAGUUGAUACUGUCAGUCUUGAGUACAGUAGAGGUGGGCGGAAUUCGUGGUGUAGCGGUGAAAUGCUUAGAUAUCACGAAGAACUCCGAUUGCGAAGGCAGCUCACUGGACUGCAACUGACACUGAUGCUCGAAAGUGUGGGUAUCAAACA
This 422-nucleotide ribosomal RNA is filed under the name uncultured bacterium. RNAcentral's name for it is "bacterial SSU rRNA". It matches the Rfam family "Bacterial small subunit ribosomal RNA", at positions 355 to 774 of the family's 1533-position model. The record is from RNAcentral.